UCAGAGUCGCCAGCCUCCACCCGCUCCCACAGCCUCGUCCUCGGCACCCACACCUCCGAUAACUCCCCCAACCACCUCAUGCUCGUCGACCCGUGCUCUAGCUCCUGCCGCGCCUGGCCGUGGCGGCUGCCGCCGAGGGCCGCGCCGCCCCGUCCGUGUCAAUCGGUCACUCAGCGCCGCAUAAUGGCGAGGUCAACAGCGCCGGGUGCAUGUCUACCGCCUUGGGGAGGACGGCGAUCUCAAGGCCGGGAAUCGAGCCCCAGUUCUAGAUGCGCAACAGGUGUUUGAGGUCGCUGUUAAGGCCUCGAGCUGGCUGCGACCAAGCACGGCCUCUAGCUCGCCCUGCACCGCGAUUGCAGUCGCGGGGCUGAUGACCACGGGCUGCUCCACGCACGGACGACAAGCACGGCAUCCGCGAUCAAGGAGAACCUGAGAUGCAACAUCAACGUGGUGGUCAUAUAUCAGAAAGGCAAGUUCUUAUGAAUGAAAGGUCAAGAUCUCCGGCGGCAGGCCAACGGGCACCAUCUCGAGCCAUCGAACCUGCAUGAGAGACAAGAAACACAAGGUCCAUUAUGAGUCUGUACUAGGAUUGAAGUAGGAAGCUGCCAGAGGUGUGUAAUUCAUGUACGGUGAGUGCUUUGCUGGGAUCAAUUGUAUGUACCCCCUGAGUUUUUAGAUUCAUAGCAGUUGACUGAUCUUAAUGUGGGUGUGCUAUUUUAGUUAUAAAUGUUCUUUUCCUGAUGUACAUGAAUGGUACUUUCUGGUUUGGCAAUGAAUAAUUUGUUUGGUCUUUUGAUAAGAGGUGUACGAAUGUGAUUUAAAAGAGUGCUAUUAUUUGUGAAAUUGGUAUGUUGAUAAAGCUCACAAGAAAUCUUAAAGAGAGAUGGACCUGAAGAGAAGAUUUGAGCAAAGCAUGAAAAAUGUCUCAUAUUUGUACUGUCAACAC
Molecule: non-coding RNA, 946 nt
Organism: Aegilops tauschii subsp. strangulata
Lineage: Eukaryota; Viridiplantae; Streptophyta; Magnoliopsida; Poales; Poaceae
Source: RefSeq, a predicted model, not a curated record